AUGCGAUACUUGGUGUGAAUUGCAGAAUUCAGUGAAUCAUCGAAUCUUUGAACGCACCUUGCACUCCUUGGUAUUCCGAGGAGUAUGCCUGUUUGAGUCUCAUGGUAUUCUCAACCCCUAAAUUUUUGUAAUGAAGGUUUAGCGGGCUUGGACUUGGAGGUUGUGUCGGCCCUUGUCGGUCGACUCCUCUGAAAUGCAUUAGCGUGAAUCUUACGGAUCGCCUUCAGUGUGAUAAUUAUCUGCGCUGUGGUGUUGAAGUAUUUAUGGUGUUCAUGCUUCGAACCGUCUCCUUGCCGAGACAAUCAUUUGACAAUCUGAGCUCAAAUCAGGUAGGACUACCCGCUGAACUUAAGCAUAUCAAUAAGCGGAGGA
Molecule: ribosomal RNA, 372 nt
Filed under: Irpex sp. BAB-3925
Lineage: Eukaryota; Fungi; Basidiomycota; Agaricomycetes; Polyporales; Irpicaceae
Description: eukaryotic LSU rRNA
Rfam family: 5.8S ribosomal RNA (bases 1-102)
Source: RNAcentral